CCUACGGGAGGCUGCAGUAGGGAAUCUUCCACAAUGGACGCAAGUCUGCUGGAGCAACGCCGCGUGAGUGAAGAAGGGUUUCGGCUCGUAAAGCUCUGUUGGUAGUGAAGAAAGAUAGAGGUAGUAACUUGCCUUUAUUUGACGGUAAUUACUUAGAAAGUCACGGCUAACUACGUGACAGCAGCCUCGGUAAUGCGUAGGUGGCAAGCGUUGUCCGGAUUUAUUGGGCGUCAAGAGAGUGCUGGCGGUUCAAUAAGUCUGAUGUGAAAGCCUUCGGCUCAACCGGAGAAUUGCAUCAGAAACUGUUGAACUUGAGUGCAGAAGAGGAGAGUGGAACUCCAAGUGUAGCGGUGGAAUGCGUAGAUAUAUGGAAGAACACCAGUGGCGAAGGCGGCUCCCUGGUCUGCAACUGACGCUGAGGCUCGAAAGCAUGGGUAGCGAACAGGAUUAGAUACCCCAGUAGUC
Molecule: ribosomal RNA, 465 nt
Filed under: uncultured bacterium
Lineage: Bacteria
Description: partial 16S ribosomal RNA
Rfam family: Bacterial small subunit ribosomal RNA
Source: RNAcentral